UGGGGAAUAUUGGACAAUGGACGCAAGUCUGAUCCAGCCAUGCCGCGUGAAGGAUGAAUGCCCUCUGGGUUGUAAACUUCUUUUAUAGGGGAAGAAAGAUACUUUUUUUAAGGUAGUUGACGGUACCCUAUGAAUAAGCACCGGCUAACUCCGUGCCAGCAGCCGCGGUAAUACGGAGGGUGCAAGCGUUAUCCGGAUUUACUGGGUUUAAAGGGUGCGUAGGCGGGCAUGUAAGUCAGUGGUGAAAUACCGGAGCUUAACUUCGGAACUGCCAAUGAUACUAUAUGUCUUGAAUAGUGUGGAGGUAAGCGGAAUAUGUCAUGUAGCGGUGAAAUGCAUAGAUAUGACAUAGAACACCGAUUGCGGAGGCAGCUUGCUACGCAAAUAUUGACGCUGAGGCACGAAAGCGUGGGGAUCAAACA
Molecule: ribosomal RNA, 422 nt
Filed under: uncultured bacterium
Lineage: Bacteria
Description: bacterial SSU rRNA
Rfam family: Bacterial small subunit ribosomal RNA
Source: RNAcentral